RNAcentral lists this ribosomal RNA (235 nucleotides) under uncultured Lactobacillus sp. Its description in RNAcentral is "partial 16S ribosomal RNA". It matches the Rfam family "Bacterial small subunit ribosomal RNA", at positions 127 to 354 of the family's 1533-position model. The record is from RNAcentral. Lineage: Bacteria; Bacillati; Bacillota; Bacilli; Lactobacillales; Lactobacillaceae.
UGCCCAAGAGAUCGGGAUAACACCUGGAAACAGAUGCUAAUACCGGAUAACAACAGAUGAUGCCUAUCAACUGUUUAAAAGAUGGUUCUGCUAUCACUCUUGGAUGGACCUGCGGUGCAUUGGCUAGUUGGUAGGGUAACGGCCUACCAAGGCGAUGAUGCAUAGCCGAGUUGAGAGACUGAUCGGCCACAUUGGGACUGAGACACGGCCCAAACUCCUACGGGAGGCAGCAGAG